CAGUGGCCAGAGCCCUGCAGUG
RNAcentral lists this microRNA (22 nucleotides) under Homo sapiens (human). RNAcentral's name for it is "hsa-miR-3677-5p". The record is from miRBase by way of RNAcentral. Lineage: Eukaryota; Metazoa; Chordata; Mammalia; Primates; Hominidae.